This 253-nucleotide ribosomal RNA is filed under the name uncultured bacterium. RNAcentral describes it as "partial 16S ribosomal RNA". It matches the Rfam family "Bacterial small subunit ribosomal RNA", at positions 524 to 776 of the family's 1533-position model. The record is from RNAcentral.
UACGUAGGUGGCAAGCGUUGUUCGGAAUUACUGGGCGUAAAGCGUACGUAGGCGGCUUUGUAAGUCAGAGGUGAAAGCCCACGACUCAAUCGUGGAACUGCCUUUGAGACUGCUUCGCUUGAAGAUGGGAGAGGUUAGUGGAAUUCCGAGUGUAGAGGUGAAAUUCGUAGAUAUUCGGAAGAACACCAGUGGCGAAGGCGGCUAACUGGACCAUUCUUGACGCUGAGGUACGAAAGCUAGGGGAGCGAAUGGG